GCGGGGCGGCGGCGGCGGCGGCGGCGGCGGCGGCGCGGAGCCGGUGGGCGCAGCCGCGCGCCAGGCCGGCGGUCGGGGUUUGGGGGAGUCUGGAGUCGGGAGUGAGGAGUUGAGGAAGGAGCGCUCGAGUUUCCGAGGGACAUUGGAACGCGAAGCUGUCCGUCACGCGCUCAUCUGCAUAUUCGGGCGCCCGCCCCCUCCCCUGCUCCGCCCGCUCCGCCCGCUCCGCCCGCUCCCGCUGCCAGGCCGCGGCCGGGGGAGGGGCGGGGAGGGGAGGGCGGAGGAGGAGGCGGGGGGGGCGGGGGAGGAGGAGGGAGGACGCGCAGGCUUUUGUGGCGCAGCCGCCUCCCGCGCAGCACCAGCCCGCGGCCCGCGGCCCCGCAGCCUGGCCGGGCCGAACAGCUCGCCGCGGUGCGCACCCCCUCCCACUCGCACGUACUCCCAGCGCCCCCCUCCCCAGCCCGCCAGCCGGCAACCCCAUCCCUCCCAAGCCAGCAACCCCUUGCCGCCCCAGUCACCUUCCUCAACGCCCCCCCCCCCCCCAAAGCCACUGCUCCACCCCCCGGUCGGCCCGCAAGGACCAGGCAGAGGCCGCCCGCAAUCGGGCCGGUCUGGUCCACCGGGGGGACGAACUGUACUCGUCCCCUCUGCGCCACGAAGAGGCAGGCCCAGGUGACUGCGCGCGUGACUCCAGGCUCCGGGCCGGGAGCCGGGGGCGAAGGGAGGGCGGGAUGGGAGCGCCCGUGGCCCAGGUCCUCCUGGGGGUGGCGUGCGCGGCUCUCCCUUCCACCUUCCUCCGUCGACUCUGCCUCACCGCGUGUGAGGCUCCCGCGUGGCCUCGAGUCUGGUCGCCUGUCCCGCGCCUCCCAGCGCGUCCCUGCGGGACCCGGAUCCGGGUCCUUGACUGCGAACUGCCAGGAAGGCCCAAAGGUGAGCUUUGUGCCCCGAAGUCCAGAGUGGUAGGACUUUGCGCUGUUGAGAAUGUUCUGACACACGCCGCCAAUGUUGCUCCCGUGAAGAUGCCACCCCGAAAGGUUUUAUUUGAUUUUAUUUUAAUAAGUUGACGCCUCUUUCGGACAAGUGUCGUAAAGCAUUCACGAGAAUGCCUGUCACCGGACAGCCCGCCUCUGGCACGACGUGAAGCCUCGCUGUCCCUUGGGAAGGAAGGAGAAAGAGGCUGCGGGCACGGACGCCAUCAGCAGCACAGGUAGCUCAGAUUAAAGUUGGCUUGGUCUUCCAAAAUAAAUCAAUGGGGAAAACAGGCUGCAAGUGCGGAGGCUCGACGCGGUGGCUCCGCACGCGGCCGCCUGCGAGGGUGGCCUGGCUUGGCUGGAAGUCCGUCUCCGGUGACCGCGGAGAGCGCAGGCCGCGCGAGGAGCGAGCCGCUGCGGCGCGGGCCCCGUGGCCGCCUCUCCGGGACCGCAGGGACUGGGAUGCUCAGCCCACGCGCGACGGGUGUCCAGGCUGGCGGCGCCGCCCAGGCGUGGCAGCCACUUGGCCGCUCUUGUUUUCGGUCGCCGUCCGAGCUGGAACGGCAGAGACCGGUAGGCGCGCAGGAAAACUGGAGAGCUGCUUUGCAAUCGCGAUCACUUUGUGACAAUUACAGGACAACGCGCGGUUUCAGGCUUGCGGUGGGCCCUCCCCUCUCCCCCGUGUGCCUUUGAAAAAGUAAGUUAAUACUGUCACAGUUUUUGUUUCUUGUCCUCACAGUGGCCGAUGCAGGUAGAACGAGCCGGCGUGGACAUGCCCGUUUCAGGGAGCCGGGGAUUCCCGCGAGGCUGAGCGGGGAGAAGUGCGUGGAACGCGGGCUCGGGCCCGAGGGCCUCUCUCCGGAAAGCGGCUGGCUGCGCAGGCCGAGGCGCCUCGAAGACACGGACAGUGUUUGGAAGAACUUAGCUCACCUUCCUCCUCGCCCCUGCGGCAGCUGCUCCCGGCUUUGUCACCGCUGUAACAACGGAGCGCACCUCCGUGGCGUCCGCGGCGGCGCGUGCGGCGGGGAGCGCGCCCACGACAGUGCGGAGCCCGCGGGAGUCACCUCCGGGCGGGCGGGAGCAGGUCGGACUCCGCUCGCAAGAAUACACUGGCGAAGGAAGAUUUUCUGCAGUCUUUUGACCAUUACUUUUAGCCGACAAGAGAAGCUCUGGAGAGCAUUUGUCCGGGGCCGUGUUGCAGAUCUCUUGGCCAAUCUUACUUCGGUGUGUACCCCCAAACAGCUCGACCAGACCGCUAACUGGGGGGGCACAUGGCACGCGCAAUGGCGUGCCUGUCCCCUACCAAACGCUCUCGCAGGCCACGACACACCUGGCAUUGCUUAGGUAGGGAAGGGAGGAGGGUUUUGUUUGGUUUGGUUUUCCCUUUUCAAAAACCGGAGAGAAUGAAGAAGCGUCAAUUUGACAAAUUGCGUUAAAAGUAAAAACAAAAACAACUUCAGUUGGACAGCAUGUAAAUGGCUGACACCCACCAGGGAGAAGAUAUCUGAAGCACCUGUAAAUAUGGGAAACACUGCUAUACAGAAUCAGGAAGAAUUCUGACAGUCAGUGGGUGAAGACGAGCCAUUCGGUGGGAAAAUGGGCCGGAGAUAGGAACAGACUCUGCACAGAGAAGAUCCGAAAAAGCGCAAAGAUGCCCCAGCUGCCUAGAGAUGGGGAGGUCAGACAGUGGAGCAGAUGGGACUUUCCAUCCACUGGAUGACACCAAACUAGGCCCAGAGGAUGCAGACAGGGAGCACUCCCUCAUUGAUGUGCUAGUUGGAAUUACUGCAAAGAAACUAGGGAGAUAUUUGGCAGCAUCUGGGAGAGCAGGAGAUGCCCACUCCGUCUCAACUGCAAUCCCUUGCUUCCCUCUCCACCACAGAGAGAAUCUCCAGGAGGCCCUGCGGCAUUGUUUGCAAAGUGCAAGACUAGAAACCCCAAAUCGCAAUCAGUACAGGCCCGGAUAAAGAAUUUGUGGCAUAUUUCACGGAAUAGAAUGGUCCCCAGGGAUGAAUGUGAAUGAAGGUAGUUCUCCUUGUAUCAACAUGAAUAAGUCCUGAAAGUAUAAAGCUGAGUGAGGAAAAAUAAUAACUAAAAAGAAAAAGGAUACAGGCAAGAUGACGCUGAGGGUGGACGUUUACAACCAACCACAUUCAGUGCUAUUUACAGGCAGGGCUGGGGGGCUGCCGGCUGGGAAGGAAGGUCUCCACUCCACUGCAGGGCACACUCGCCCAGUACCUCUGAAGAGGGGCAGUGGGCCUGGGAGGCGGGCCCGGCACUAUUAGUGAUGUUUUAUUUCUGAAAAAUAUAUCUGUUGUAAAUGUCACAAAUGUCACAAAAUGUUAAUGAUUAAAAAAAAUGUUAAUGAUUAUUAACUUGGGAUGAUUGUUCCAUGCAAUUAUAUUACUCUGUACAUUUUUAUUGUGUGAAAAUAUUUUGUUUUGAAAAUUAAAAUGAAAAUAAGAAUUAGUAUUUUAAAAAAUGUUAUAUCACAGAAGUAUAAUUUGCUAUUUUCAUUGUUUAUUUAAAAAAAUUCUUAAAAAUUUAUAUCCUUCAUGUCUUUUUUCCUCUCUCCAUUUCCCUACCCU
Molecule: long non-coding RNA, 3559 nt
Organism: Mirounga angustirostris (Northern elephant seal)
Lineage: Eukaryota; Metazoa; Chordata; Mammalia; Carnivora; Phocidae
Exons: 3
Source: RefSeq, a predicted model, not a curated record